GACAGAAGAGAUAAAUGAACAUGCCUGAUCUUGUCUGAUCUCAGAAGCUAAGCAGGUUUGGGCCUGGUUAGUACUUGAAUGGGAGACAGAAGACAUAAGGACCACUGUGC
Ribosomal RNA from Gorilla gorilla gorilla (western lowland gorilla), 110 nucleotides. The record is from Ensembl. NCBI's taxonomy places the organism in Eukaryota, Metazoa, Chordata, Mammalia, Primates, Hominidae.